Molecule: ribosomal RNA, 1011 nt
Filed under: Brevicollum hyalosporum
Lineage: Eukaryota; Fungi; Ascomycota; Dothideomycetes; Pleosporales; Neohendersoniaceae
Description: partial large subunit ribosomal RNA
Rfam family: Eukaryotic large subunit ribosomal RNA (bases 123-1011)
Source: RNAcentral
AAAGGAACACCCCACACUAAAUUUACUAGCCCAAAAACCAAACAAUUUCAUAUCCUCCUACCCCUAGCCCACCUAGAUGAGGGAAUAGCGUUACAUUCUUUUCUACCUCUCUUUGCAAAAAAAAUUUUGUUUUUGUUUCUGUUUUUCCCCCCAAUAUUUACAUUCAAUAAGCGGAGGAAAAGAAACCAACAGGGAUUGCCCUAGUAACGGCGAGUGAAGCGGCAACAGCUCAAAUUUGAAAUCUGGCUCCGCUCUGGGGUCCGAGUUGUACUUUGCAGAGGGCGCUUUGGCGUCGGCAGCAGUCUAAGUUCCUUGGAACAGGACGUCACAGAGGGUGAGAAUCCCGUACGUGGCUGCGUGCCUUCGCCGUGUAAAGCCCCUUCGACGAGUCGUGUUGUUUGGGAAUGCAGCACUAAAUGGGAGGUAAAUUUCUUCUAAAGCUAAAUACUGGCCAGAGACCGAUAGCGCACAAGUAGAGUGAUCGAAAGAUGAAAAGCACUUUGGAAAGAGAGUCAAAUAGCACGUGAAAUUGUUGAAAGGGAAGCGCUUGCAGCCAGACUUGCCUGCGGUUGCUCAUCCGGGCUCUUGCCCGGUGCACUCUUCCGCAGGCAGGCCAGCAUCAGUUUGGGCGACUGGAGAAAGGCCUCUGUCAUGUAUCUUCCUUCGGGAUGACCUUAUAGGGGAGGCGUAAUGCAGCCAGUCCGAACUGAGGUCCGCGCAUCUGCUAGGAUGCUGGCGUAAUGGCUGUAAGCGGCCCGUCUUGAAACACGGACCAAGGAGUCUAACAUCUAUGCGAGUGUUUGGGUGUCAAGCCCGAGCGCGCAAUGAAAGUGAACGGAGGUGGGAACCCUCGGGUGCACCAUCGACCGAUCCUGAUGUCUUCGGAUGGAUUUGAGUAAGAGCAUAGCUGUUGGGACCCGAAAGAUGGUGAACUAUGCUUGAAUAGGGUGAAGCCAGAGGAAACUCUGGUGGAGGCUCGCAGCGGUUCUGACGUGCAAAUCGAAUCGUCAA